AUUGAACGCUGGCGGCAGGCCUAACACAUGCAAGUCGAGCGAGCGGCGGACGUGUGAGUACUGUAUGGGGAUCUGCCCGAUAGAGGGGGAUAACUUGUGGACACGGUGGCUAAUACCGCAUCAUAUCGUAUGCAACGAUAUGGGAGUAGCUAGUAGGGGGGGUAAAGGCUCACCUAGGCGACGAGCUCUAGCUGGUCGGAGAGGAUGAUCAGCCACACUGGGACUGAGACACGGCCCAGACUCCUACGGGAGGCAGCAGUGGGGAAUAUUGCACAAUGGGCGCAAGCCUGAUGCAGCCAUGCCGCGUGUAUGAAGAAGGCCUUAGGGUUGUAAAGUACUUUCAGCGGGGAGGCGUUACCCGCAGAAGAAGCACCGGCUAACUCCGUGCCAGCAGCCGCGGUAAUUC
Molecule: ribosomal RNA, 406 nt
Filed under: uncultured bacterium
Lineage: Bacteria
Description: partial 16S ribosomal RNA
Rfam family: Bacterial small subunit ribosomal RNA
Source: RNAcentral